UACGUAGGGUGCAAGCGUUGUCCGGAAUUAUUGGGCGUAAAGAGCUCGUAGGCGGUCUGUCGCGUCGGCUGUGAAAACCCGAGGCUCAACCUCGGGCCUGCAGUCGAUACGGGCAAACUAGAGUACUGCAGGGGAGACUGGAAUUCCUGGUGUAGCGGUGAAAUGCGCAGAUAUCAGGAGGAACACCGGUGGCGAAGGCGGAUCUCUGGGCCUUACCUGACGCUCAGGCGCGAAAGCUAGGGGAGCGAACUGG
This 253-nucleotide ribosomal RNA is filed under the name uncultured bacterium. Its description in RNAcentral is "partial 16S ribosomal RNA". It matches the Rfam family "Bacterial small subunit ribosomal RNA", at positions 524 to 776 of the family's 1533-position model. The record is from RNAcentral.